UGUUGUGAAUGAUGAGAUCAUAAAUUAUCACAGUUAUCCCUGUCUGAUACAUUUUGUGCUGAAUACAUGUGAUCUGACACAAAC
This is a small nucleolar RNA of Mercurialis annua (annual mercury), 84 nucleotides long. RefSeq annotates it as small nucleolar RNA R38. The record is from RefSeq and is a predicted model, not a curated record. The transcript has a single exon. Lineage: Eukaryota; Viridiplantae; Streptophyta; Magnoliopsida; Malpighiales; Euphorbiaceae.